RNAcentral lists this unclassified non-coding RNA (271 nucleotides) under plant metagenome. RNAcentral's name for it is "partial contains small subunit ribosomal RNA and internal transcribed spacer 1". The stretch from base 1 to 46 matches the Rfam family "Eukaryotic small subunit ribosomal RNA", at positions 1786 to 1831 of the family's 1831-position model. The record is from RNAcentral.
AAGUCGUAACAAGGUUUCCGUAGGUGAACCUGCGGAAGGAUCAUUAUUACAAAAGUGUGGUUUCACAACUACAUUUAAACCAAAAUGUGCAACUGUAUCGGAAACGUUGGGGUUUUAUUUGGCUUGAAAGUUUCCCUGACGUUUCUUUGUUUUUUAUUCAAAACUUUAAAGCUUUAUUUUUAACCCAAUUUCACCUAGAUAUUCUUAGUAUGAACUUAAACAUUUUCUCGAUUCGAAAGGAUCUACAGAAAAAUCAUACGAAACUUAAGAA